GCAGGUCCCAUUUUGCCGGCCGUCCGGGCAAUGUCCGUCGCAGUAGCACACAAUGCCCAGCACUGCAAGAAGACAACAUAGAUAUAAUCACGCAUGCGAUUCCUCUGAGAUUAAUACUCGCUUAUAAACGAACGCCAAGAGUGGCCAAGUGGGAGAUGCGUCGCUAUGAAAUUAGGUGAACGAUGCGUUGCGCGAGGUGCGGAAAAUAAUUUAAAAAUAACAAUUGAUAAUGAAGAGAGGCGAGACUUGUGGGCGCGGAGUUGAGUGGAUUCGAGAGGUUGUUUGACAAGUCAUGAGAUGUGUCGUGUAGGCGAACAACCGUCGUCGCGUCCCACGGAGAGGCGUACACUGCCGCGAAGAGAAAGGAGUGUGACGUAAAGCAGCCAGAAUUAGAUGUGACUCCGAAUUGAAUCUGACAGACCGCAAAACCGGGGGAGGUUCGCAACGAGAGCAUCCGCCUCCGUCACGGUGGCCGAUAACGGCGAAUUCGAUGCAAACACGGUGUCACGUUUCUAACGAGUAUGCAAGCGACGCGACGGCCGUCGACGGGACGCAAAAGGAGAAAGAGGAAGGAGGCCUGUGAGACAAGCGUGCGUGCGCGGAGGCUACGCUUAUCUACCGCCGCGGAAUUACUCUCUCGUGCGUCUAUUUUACGGUGACCGCUCUAUUUAUAACCCCAGGAAUAUCUGGAUGACGGAUUCGAUUCUUCGCGCGUUCUGCGUCCGUUCCACCGCGUACGCCUUUCUCCUCGUUCCCUUCGCUCGCCCAGGGUGUCGCCUGAAUCUUUUAAUUUUAGCAUUAAUUCCGAAUAAUCCCAUAAUUCAAUUCAAAUUUGAUCGAUGAAUCCUUGGCGUUGAAAGCAGCAUCGAGGACAUGGAUAAAGCGGAACGCAAGGUCGAAAAUCUAUUAAAUACCUUUUCCCUUUAGAUCUAAAGUCCUUCUAAGAAAUCUAUGUUAGGUCGCAUUACACGAUAUAAUCUCAGUCCGACUUAGCGGAAUUCGACCUGUUAGAGUUGCAAGGAGUAUACCGUGACCGUGCCUUUUUAAUAGGGGCAAGCGUAAACAAGGUAUAAACGUGAAAGCAACGAACUCUCAAGUGUCUCGACGGCCGCGACUCGCUUAUCCUUGCGUAUCUGGAAACGAAACGUAAAUAGCUUCGCAGAAAGCGUAUUUUUCCACAUCAACAACUGUUCUGUCAACGCGCACGAUCGUGGAUAUUAUCGCCGUCGUGGUUGGCGAUUAAUGACCGCGGGAACACGCGUAGGAUCUGGAAAAAGAAUCGUCUAAGUGACACUUAUACCGCGAUAUCGAUUUCGGCCUUAUCCAGAUGGAAGUAGCGACGGAUUUAGAACUCUAAGAGUCUUACACAGCAUUUAGCAUGAUGACAACUUUCUGAAUAGAUCGUUAUUUAACAAGUCAUAUUAUUUACCUGAUUGUUUUUAGUUAAAAUUGCCUAAUAAUUUCCUUUACAUAAAAUAAAUUUGUCUAAUAAUUUCCUUUACAUAAAAUUUGAAAGCUACUUUCUUUACUGAUUAUCUUGAUUUUCAUAUUUGACUGUUUUUUUAAAAAGUGAGCAUUUACAAAAUCAGAGGAUUGCCAAGAGGCUCUUUAAAGCCCGUAUCAGACUACGCAUUGGAGACUGCCAACCGCAAACUGUCGACUAUAAUUCGACCAAUCAACCUUAAUCUUAAUUCGUUUUAUUCCGAUUGGUUGAAUUCUAAUCUCUAAUGCACGUAGUCUGAUGCGGGCUUUAAGCCCGUCACUAUGCAUCGAGAUGAGUCAGAUUCGAAAUGCGUAUCACCGAUCGUAAAAACAGAGAAUCACCUUCUACGAUUCACAAUCUGGAUCCUACGUCAAUCUAAUUGACUGGUCAAUGAUUUGUAAUCCGAAUCAAAUUCGCGUCCGCAAUGCGUAUAGUGUGACGUGCGCUCUAGAAGUUGAGACUCGCGAAUUGGAGAUCAGAAUUCAAUCAAUCGAAACAAAACGGAUUAAAAUGAAGAUCAUCCGAUUAGUUGAAUUCUAAUCUUUAUAGUUCGCAAUGCUCAAUCUCCAAUGCGCAGUUUGAUACGGAGGGGGCUCGACAAUCGGCUGGCGAGAAAAGCGCCGUAAUGAACUGUUUAGAAAACUGUCGUUCACACGCGAGUGUGCAGUGUAUACGAGAGCUCGCGCGAGAUCGGGCCGAGAGGCGGUAACGCGCAUAUCUGCUUUCGUGCGGCUUUCGCGACGCAAUCGGCGCCCGUAAUCGCACGAAGGUUUCAAUGAAUCGCGCGAGGCAACGUGCCAGCUAGCCGCGGACUUUAUCAGCGUGGCAAAGAGCAGUAUCAGCGAUAGCCCCGCGCGUCUAUGAGUCGCGCCGAAUCGCGAAGUUCGCGCCGGCCGCGGCGCGGCGGUUCUAACGCCACGCCGGGGCAGCUAUUUCGAAACAUUGGACAUUUUUUCUUCUUUCAAUUAACAACAAACAACGUCGAUCAUGAUCAACGUCGCAAUUUUCGAAGCUCUAGAACGACGUCGAGGACAAUCGGAUCGCGAAAAGUACGAGUCGGAAGGGAAUAUUUGUCACGCAUUCGUUCCCCCUGGGGAGCUAUCAAUAACCGAACAAACAUUGUUAAAGACAGGCAUGAAGGCGAUUGUGACUUAUCGCAGAUAACAAACAAAAUUAGUUUUACUAAUUUAAAUAAAUGAGGAAAACCAAUUGCGUAAAUAUUGAACGUAGGCUAACUUGAGAGUUGAUUUUUAUGGUUUGUACAAGAGGACAUUGAUUCGCGUCGUGUUGGGUGUGAAAGCUAUCCCUUAUCUCUCGUUCCCUUAUCGCAUUAUCAAUAUUUAGAGUCAAUACAAGGUAUGUGAUUCUGGGGAUCUUGUGUUUCCGCCCGAUAGGCGUUAAAGUAUCACCGAUAAAACGAUUUUGUUAAUAAAACGAUUAAUGAAGACGAA
Long non-coding RNA from Wasmannia auropunctata (little fire ant), 2934 nucleotides. RefSeq lists it as uncharacterized. NCBI's taxonomy places the organism in Eukaryota, Metazoa, Arthropoda, Insecta, Hymenoptera, Formicidae. The record is from RefSeq and is a predicted model, not a curated record. The transcript has 3 exons.